RNAcentral lists this small nuclear RNA (104 nucleotides) under Castor canadensis (American beaver). Lineage: Eukaryota; Metazoa; Chordata; Mammalia; Rodentia; Castoridae. The record is from RNAcentral.
GUGCUCCCUUCAGCAGCACAUCUACUGAAACUGGACCAAGAGAGAAGACUAGCAUGGCAGUGUGCAAGGAUGACACACAGAUUCGUGAAACAUACCAUAUUUUU